CGGAAAACAAAAAAUGACCUAUAUUACAGGGGUAAAGCACCAUUAACCCAAUUAAAAAUACUAAAGUCAGAACUUGGAUCGCUUGAUUUUGAUCUGAUGGUCGGUGCAUGAAAUCUAAAGUUAUUAGAUCUGAUGAAUGAAAUAUUUAUGUUGAGAAAUCAAGGAUCUGCCAACGCUUAUGUAAGAAUCUGAAGAUCAUGAAGGAGAAAUGUCAACCAUUCGAGUUCACCUGUUGUGGAGGAAACCACCCUAUAUUCUGCUUCAGAGGAUGAACAUAUACUUGUUUCUUUGAUUUCUAGGAAAUUAAUGAUGAUCCAAGGAUAAUACAGUGGCUGUCAUAGAUUUUCUAGUUUCCGAACAAGUAGCCCAAUCAGAGUCGCUAAACGCAUGCUGGUGGGAAUAACAAACCCAGUGCUUGUGCAUUUUUCAAGUAUUUGAUAAUCCUUAUUGCUGCCAAAUAGUGAUCUUCAGUUGGUGAUUUCAUGAAUUAACUGAGGUAUUACAUAGAAAAGGAGAUAUUUGGCCGUUGGUCAAAUAGAUCAAACGAACAACGAUUCUUCUGUAC
This 565-nucleotide long non-coding RNA is filed under the name Medicago truncatula (barrel medic). RNAcentral describes it as "long non-coding RNA (MTRU_LNC006268)". The record is from RNAcentral. Lineage: Eukaryota; Viridiplantae; Streptophyta; Magnoliopsida; Fabales; Fabaceae.